RNAcentral lists this long non-coding RNA (961 nucleotides) under Homo sapiens (human). Its description in RNAcentral is "HSALNT0196257". Lineage: Eukaryota; Metazoa; Chordata; Mammalia; Primates; Hominidae. The record is from RNAcentral.
CUCCUAUCAAAAUUUAUUGAAAUGGUAGAUUUUUGGUAAGUACAGAAACACAAGCGAAGGAACCAGGAGGAACGUGCACCCCUCUAACUGUGGGGCAGAGGCACAUUUCCCUUUUAAUGUUAAAAGCAAACAGAGGUGGGAAACAGCUUUCUAUCCUGAAGCCGUUUUAACUGCCCAACCCUUAGAUUACUAUAAACAAGAGAGGAAUGGAUUGCAUUAGUCGCUGGUUGAAAGCAGCAAUGCCAUUUCCUUUCCCAUAAUAACACUGUUUAGCUCAGUCCCUUCUGGGGCUAAUCCCCUAUUACACCCACCGGAAACACAGAUAUUAACCAAAGCGUGUGAGUCUCUUCCCUGAGUCCAUUUCUGCUAAAGCUUGUCUGAAAGAUGAAUUGGUCCACGGAAGCCAGGUGACCUACUGGCUUGUUUAAUGAUGCCUGGGCUCCCUCCAGGAGCAACACAAUUCCCUCCAAUCUCAGCUCUCCUUAUCCCUGCUAGAGCUCACAAGCAGGCUAGAUAUCACCCCAGGAGCUGAGCCCCCUCCAGUCUGAGGCAGAUGUGGGAAGAAGGCCAACAACUCACAAGCAGGCUAGAUAUCACCCCAGGAGCUGAGCCCCCUCCAGUCUGAGGCAGAUGUGGGAAGAAGGCCAACAAGUCACAAGUAGAUCUCUGGCUCCAACUCUGCUCAGCAGAAACGCCUACAAUUUGCCCAUCUUCAGUCCUGCGAGCGUCAGAGAUGAAGCAAGUUUCAGAUGCCUAGAAGCUUUACUCUCUGUUCCUCCAGGAUUCCUGCGGUCACACCUUGCAACCAGUCUCCCACUCAUCUGCCACAGUUUCCCUAAAUCAGAUUCUCUGAAUCUGGAAGUUCCAGGAAAUCUUAGGCCGAGUCCAGUGACAUUACUCGAUGCAACAGCCCAACUGUUUCUCCAGAGAUGCUGGUUCUUGGUGACAAUGUCCCUUCUUG